GUAGGGUGCGAGCGUUGUCCGGAAUUAUUGGGCGUAAAGGGCUCGUAGGCGGUUUGUCGCGUCGGGAGUGAAAACACUGGGCUUAACUCAGUGCUUGCUUUCGAUACGGGCAGACUAGAGGUAUGCAGGGGAGAACGGAAUUCCUGGUGUAGCGGUGAAAUGCGCAGAUAUCAGGAGGAACACCGGUGGCGAAGGCGGUUCUCUGGGCAUUACCUGACGCUGAGGAGCGAAAGUGUGGGGAGCGAACAGGAUUAGAUACCCUGAUAGUCCACACCGUAGACGUUGGGCGCUAGGUGUGGGGCCUAUUCCAUGGGUUCCGUGCCGCAGCUAACGCAUUAAGCGCCCCGCCUGGGGAGUACGGCCGCAAGGCUA
This 372-nucleotide ribosomal RNA is filed under the name uncultured bacterium. RNAcentral describes it as "bacterial SSU rRNA". It matches the Rfam family "Bacterial small subunit ribosomal RNA", at positions 527 to 896 of the family's 1533-position model. The record is from RNAcentral.